This 520-nucleotide ribosomal RNA is filed under the name uncultured Glomus. Its description in RNAcentral is "SSU rRNA". It matches the Rfam family "Eukaryotic small subunit ribosomal RNA", at positions 569 to 1093 of the family's 1831-position model. The record is from RNAcentral. Lineage: Eukaryota; Fungi; Glomeromycota; Glomeromycetes; Glomerales; Glomeraceae.
AGCAGCCGCGGUAAUUCCAGCUCCAAUAGCGUAUAUUAAAGUUGUUGCAGUUAAAAGCUCGUAGUUGAAUUUCGGGAUCAAGUCGUCGGUCGUGCUCAGGUACGUACUGGCGUCAUUGAUUUCUCCCUUCUGACGAACCAUGAUGUCAUUAAUUUGGUGUUAUGGGAAAUCAGGACUGUUACUUUGAAAAAAUUAGAGUGUUUAAAGCAGGCUCACGCUUGAAUACAUUAGCAUGGAAUAAUGAAAUAGGACGUUCGAUCCUAUUUUGUUGGUUUUAGGAUCAACGUAAUGAUUAAUAGGGAUAGUUGGGGGCAUUAGUAUUCAAUUGUCAGAGGUGAAAUUCUUGGAUUUAUUGAAGACUAACUACUGCGAAAGCAUUUGCCAAGGAUGUUUUCAUUAAUCAAGAACGAAAGUUAGGGGAUCGAAGACGAUCAGAUACCGUCGUAGUCUUAACCAUAAACUAUGCCGACUAGGGAUCGGAUGAUGUUAAUUUUUUAAUGACUCAUUCGGCGCCUUACGG